AAAAAGAUAAGCUAAAUUAAGCUAAUGGGUUCAUACCUCAUUUAUAAAGAAAAUCUUUUCUUUUUA
Molecule: transfer RNA, 66 nt
Filed under: Crepidodera sp. BMNH 846615
Lineage: Eukaryota; Metazoa; Arthropoda; Insecta; Coleoptera; Chrysomelidae
Description: tRNA-Met
Source: RNAcentral